GAUGAACGCUGGCGGCGUGCCUAAUACAUGCAAGUCGAGCGAACAGAUGAGGAGCUUGCUCCUCUAACGUUAGCGGCGGACGGGUGAGUAACACGUGGAUAACCUACCUAUAAGACUGUGAUAACUUCGGGAAACCGGAGCUAAUACCGGAUAAUAUAUUGAACCGCAUGGUUCAAUAGUGAAAGACGGUUUUGCUGUCACUUAUAGAUGGAUCCGCGCCGCAUUAGCUAGUUGGUAAGGUAACGGCUUACCAAGGCAACGAUGCGUAGCCGACCUGAGAGGGUGAUCGGCCACACUGGAACGGAGACACGGUCCAGACUCCUACGGGAGGCAGCAGUAGGGAAUCUUCCGCAAUGGGCGAAAGCCUGACGGAGCAACGCCGCGUGAGUGAUGAAGGUCUUCGGAUCGUAAAACUCUGUUAUUAGGGAAGAACAAAUGUGUAAGUAACUAUGCACGUCUUGACGGUACCUAAUCAGAAAGCCACGGCUAACUACGUG
This 497-nucleotide ribosomal RNA is filed under the name uncultured bacterium. Its description in RNAcentral is "partial 16S ribosomal RNA". It matches the Rfam family "Bacterial small subunit ribosomal RNA", at positions 28 to 507 of the family's 1533-position model. The record is from RNAcentral.